This 492-nucleotide ribosomal RNA is filed under the name uncultured bacterium. RNAcentral's name for it is "partial 16S ribosomal RNA". It matches the Rfam family "Bacterial small subunit ribosomal RNA", at positions 29 to 507 of the family's 1533-position model. The record is from RNAcentral.
AGUGAACGCUGGCGGUAGGCCUAACACAUGCAAGUCGAACGGCAGCACAGUAAGAGCGUGCGCUUACGGGUGGCGAGUGGCGGACGGGUGAGGAAUACAUCGGAAUCUACUUUUUCGGGGGGGAUAACGUAGGGAAACUUACGCUAAUACCGCAUACGACCUACGGGGGAAAGCAGGGGAUCGUCUGAGCUGGCGCGAUUGGAUGAGCCGAUGUCGGAUUAGCUAGUGGGCGGGGUAAAGGCCCACCAAGGCGACGAUCGGUGGCUGGUCUGAGAGGAUGAUAAGCCACCCUGGAACUGAGCCACCGUCCAGACUCCUACGGGAGGCACCAGUGGGGAAUAUUGGACAAUGGGCGCAAGCCUGAUCCAGCCAUACCGCGUGGGUGAAGAAGGCCUUCGGGUUGUAAAGCCCUUUUGUUGGGAAAGAAACGCAGCAGGUUAAUACCCCGCUGUUCUGACGGUACCCAAAGAAUAAGCACCGGCUAACUUCGUG